Molecule: ribosomal RNA, 301 nt
Filed under: uncultured bacterium
Lineage: Bacteria
Description: partial 16S ribosomal RNA
Rfam family: Bacterial small subunit ribosomal RNA
Source: RNAcentral
CAGCCGCCACGGUAAAACGUAGGUGGCAAGCGUUGUCCGGAAUUAUUGGGCGUAAAGGGCUCGCAGGCGGUUUCUUAAGUCUGAUGUGAAAGCCCCCGGCUCAACCGGGGAGGGUCAUUGGAAACUGGGAAACUUGUGUGCAGAAGAGGAGAGUGGAAUUCCACGUGUAGCGGUGAAAUGCGUAGAGAUGUGGAGGAACACCAGUGGCGAAGGCGACUCUCUGGUCUGUAACUGACGCUGAGGAGCGAAAGCGUGGGGAGCGAACAGGAUUAGAUACCCCUGUAGUCCCUGUCUCUUAUAC